Myotis lucifugus (little brown bat) is the source of this 73-nucleotide non-coding RNA. The record is from Rfam. Lineage: Eukaryota; Metazoa; Chordata; Mammalia; Chiroptera; Vespertilionidae.
GCUGGUUUGGCUCAGUGGAUAGAGUGUUGGCCUGAGAACUGAAGGGUCUCAGGUUCGAUUCCUGUCAAAAGCA